UCCUACGGGAGGCAGCAGUGAGGAAUAUUGCGCAAUGGGGGCAACCCUGACGCAGCGACGCCGCGUGAGUGAGGAAGGCCUUCGGGUCGUAAAACUCUGUCAGAAGGGAAGAAGUGUUAGACGGUUAAUACCCGUGUAAUUUGACGGUACCUUCAAAGGAAGCACCGGCUAACUCCGUGCCAGCAGCCGCGGUAAUACGGAGGGUGCGAGCGUUGUUCGGAAUCACUGGGCGUAAAGGGCGCGCAGGCGGCGUGUUAAGUCAGAUGUGAAAUCCCACGGCUCAACCGUGGAAGUGCAUUUGAAACUGGCAUGCUUGAGUAUCAGAGGGGAAAGUGGAAUUCCCGGUGUAGAGGUGAAAUUCGUAGAUAUCGGGAGGAAUACCGGUGGCGAAGGCGACUUUCUGGCUGAAUACUGACGCUGAGGCGCGAAAGCGUGGGGAGCAAACAGGAUUAGAUACCCUGGUAGUCCACGCCGCACAUGUGAACUAGAUGUUGGAGGUGUUGAUCC
This 507-nucleotide ribosomal RNA is filed under the name uncultured bacterium. RNAcentral's name for it is "bacterial SSU rRNA". It matches the Rfam family "Bacterial small subunit ribosomal RNA", at positions 337 to 838 of the family's 1533-position model. The record is from RNAcentral.